CAGAUUUUUACUGUUUGUACAGAUGACCUUUUGUUUAGAUUGAAUUGUCUCCCCAGAAGUAAGAUUACUGUGAGUCAUGGUGAAUGGACAUUCUCAUUACCCUUGAUGUAAAUUGACAGGGUUUUGGGUGCCUCCCAGCUAUAAUCUUAGCACUUUGGGAGGCUAAGAGAGGAGGAUUGCUUGAGGCCAAGAGUUGGAGGAGGCGGUAUGGCAGUAUGGUGAGACCCUGUCUCCGUUAUUUUAAAAAAUUGACAAGCUUUACCCGGGAAGGCUUAUAUACAAUUUAAACACCCCUCAUAGUAUAAGAAAGUGCCCAUUUCACUGCACCUUUGCCAGCACAGGGUAUUAUAAUUUAGUAAGUCAUUUUUUGUUUGAUUGUUUUAAAUAGAUAAAAGACCUCAUGUUACUUUACUUGUCACAUUUCAACAUCUUUCCUUAGCUUAUUAGCUCUAUCUCUUUUCUAUCUGUAAAUGGUUGUUGUUGUUUUGUUCUUUGAGACAGGGUCUUGCUCUGUCACCAGGCUGGACUGUAGUGGCAUAAUCAUGCCUCGCUGCAGCCUUGACCUCCCAGGCUCAAACUUCAGCAUUCCGAGUAGCUGGGCCUACAAGUGUGCACCACCACUCCCAGCUAACCUUUUUCUUUUUUUGGAUAGAGACAGGGUCUCACUGUGUUGUCCAGACCGGUCUCUAGCUCCUGGCCUUAAGCAAUCCUCCUGCAUUAGCUUCUCAAAUUGCUGGAAUUUCAGGCAUGAGCCACCAUGCCUGGCCUGGGCUAGUCCUGUAUUCUCUAGAGUUCUCUUUACUUUGUGCUAGCCUAUCUCUCAUUAUGCUGUUCACCUGUUAUAAUGAAUAAUUCUCCGUAUUAAAUUUUACCACUUUAAACUUUUGAGUGGUUUAUGCUUCCUGAUUGGACUCUGACUAAUAUGUUAGGAAGGGUCCCGGGAGAUAAACCCACACAGAUGGGAUUGGGGCAUAGGUUUGGUUUCCCAGGGGGCAGUGCUGAGCUCUUUGCCAGUGGGAAAUGGGAUGCUGGUGAUUUCCAGGAAGUGACCUCACAAUGACUCAAGCUACCACUUACUGUUGAUUGUGACGAAAUGCCAGCUGAGGCACAUGCCUUGGGAGCUAAGUGGUUGCUGCCCUUGACCACUAUGAAGACUGGUGUGGGAAGGGUCGCUUUGGAUGCACUUGAGCAGGGGUCCCCAACCCCUGAGCCAUGGAGCCGUAAGGAGCCACACAGCAGGAGGUGAGUGGUGUCCAGUGAGGGAGUGAGGGAAGCUUCGUCUGUAUUUACAGCCACUCCCCUUUGCUCACAUUCCCGCCUGAGCUCCACCUUGUCAGAUCAGCAGCAGCAUUAGAUUCUCAUAGGAGAACGCACCCUGUUGUGAACCGUGCAUGUGAGGGAUCUAGGUUGCGCUGUCCUUAUGAGAAUCUAAUACCUAUUGAUCUGUCACUUUCUCCCAUCACGCUCAGGUGGGACCAUCCAGUUGCAGGAAAACAAGCUUAACACGCCCACUGAUUCUACAUUAUGCUCCUACCUCCCGGCAGCCUCUCCAGGCCCAGAACUCUCUCCAGUCAGCCUCUACAGACCAAGCUCAUGACUCACAAUGGCCUAUUUAGGCCCAUACCCUACCUCACGGCAGUCUCCGCAGAUGAGCCUACUGCCUCACAACAGCCUCCACAGGCACAGCUCCAUCGUUACAAUGGUCUCUUUAGACCCAGCUCCUGCCUCCCAGCCUUCUCUCCAGGCCCUGAACUUUCUCCGUAAGUUCAGGUAGCUGGGACUGUAGGGUCUCCCUCUGUUGUCCAAGGCUGGAGUGUAGUAGUGCUAUCACAGCUGACUGCAGCCUCAACCUUCCAGGCUGAAGCGAUCCUCCCAUCUCAACCUCCCACGUGGCUGAGACUACAGGUGCUUGCCACUAUGCCCAACUAAUAUUUGGAAUUUUCGUAUACGUGGAUUCCAGAGGGGUGACAGCGAAACGUGGGACCAUCCAGUUGCAGGAAAACAAGCUUAACACACCCACUGAUUCUACAUUAUGCUCCUACCUCCCGGCAGCCUCUCCAGGCCCAGAACUCUCUCCAGUCAGCCUCUACAGACCAAGCUCAUGACUCCCAAUGGCCUAUUUAGGCCCAUACCCUACCUCACGGCAGUCUCCGCAGAUGAGCCUACUGCCUCACAACAGCCUCCACAGGCACAGCUCCUCCUGCCUCCCAGUGGCCUCUUUCGGCCCAGCCCAGCUCAUGCCUCCCGGCGGCCUUCCCAGGCCCCGCUUUUGACUUUCGGUGGCCUCUGCAGGCCUCGACAAGGCCCGGCCUCCUGCCUCCCGAAGACCUGCACAGGCCCAGCCUCUGCCUCACAGCGGACUCUCCACGCCCAGCUAGCUCUCGCCUCACUGCGGCCUCCCGAGUCCAAAGCUCCUGCCUCUCGGCCGCUUCGGCAGGCCCAGCUCCCGCCUGCCAGUGGCCUCUUCAGGCCCGUGGGGCUCAUUCCUCACAACAGCCUUUCCAGGCCCAGUUUUUCCCUUGCGGCGGCCUCUCCGGGCAGAGAACAUCCUCAAGUCGGCCUCUCCAGACCCACUUGCACCCUCCGGGCAUCCUCUCCGGGCCCAGCUCCUCUUCCUGGCUGCGUCUCCAGGCCCGACUCCUGCCUCUCAACGACCUCUUUGGACUCAUUGGCUACCCAUCUCCUGGCGGCCUUGGUCGGCCAAAAGCUUCCUCAAGCCAAGCUCCCCAGGCCCAGGUCAGGCCUCACGGUGGCCUCUCCAGGAUGAACUGCUGCCCUCCGAUGGCAUCUGCAGGCCCCAAAUGGUCUCCGGUCGGUGGGCUCCUCCACGCCAAGCUUGGGCCUCCCGGCGACCUCUGCAGGCCCAAGUUGUCCUGAAGUUGGCAUCUCCCGGCCCUGCCUCCCAGCAAGUAAGCAAGCUCUUUUGGCUCAACUCCUGCCCAGCUCCCAACCGCCUUUGUAGGCCCCGAACUUUCUCCAGCCAAGUUCUUUGGGCCUCAUUCCAGCCGCCUGGUGGCCUGUACGGGCCCGGCACUGGUUGGAGAACAGCCUCUGCAGGCCCCGCUCUUGCCUCCCAGGGGCCUCUCCAGGCCCACCUCUUGCCCCCACGGCGGCCUCCCGGGGCCAAGUCCCUGCCUUCCUCCCAGCAGCCCGCGUGCGGCCCAGCUCCUCCCUCACGGUGGCCUGUUGAUGCCCAACUCAUGCCUCUGGCACCCUGCCCAGAGGCAUGAGCCCCUGCCUCACACUGGCUCCUCGCACGCUGAGAGAGGUCAGUGUGAGCCCUUGCCUCACACCGGCCCCUCCCACGCUGAGAGAGGUCAGUGUGAGCCCUUGCCUCACACCGGCCCCUCCCACGCUGAGAGAGGUCAGUGUGAGCCCUUGCCUCACACCGGCCCCUCCCAUGCUGAGAGAGGUCAGGGUGAGCCCUUGCCUCACACCGGCCCCUCCCACGCUGAGAGAGGUCAGCCUGAGCCCCUUGCCCCACACCGGCCCCUCCCACGCUGACAGAGGUCAGCCUGAGCCCCUUGCCUCACACCGGCCCCUCCCAGGCUGACAGAGGUCAGCCUGAGCCCCUUGCCCCACACCGGCCCCUCCCACGCUGACAGAGGUCAGCCUGAGCCCCUUGCCCCACUCCGGCCCCUCCCAGGCUGACAGAGGUCAGCCUGACCCCCUUGCCUCAUACCGGCCCCUCCCAGGCUGACAGAGGUCAGCCUGAGCCCCUAGCCUCACACCAGCCCCUCCCAUGCUGACAGAGGUCAGCGGGAGCCCCUUGCCUCACACCGGCCCCUCCCAGGCUGACAGAGGUCAGCCUGAGCCCCUAGCCUCACACCGGCCCCUCCCAGGCUGACAGAGGUCAGCCUGAGCCCCUAGCCUCACACCAGCCCCUCCCAGGCUGACAGAGGUCAGCGGGAGCCCCUUGCCUCACACCGGCCCCUCCCAGGCUGACAGAGGUCAGCGGGAGCCCCUUGCCUCACACCGGCCCCUCCCAGGCUGACAGAGGUCAGCGUGAGCCCCUUGCCUCACACCGGCCCCUCCCACGCUGAGAGACGUCAGCGUGAGCCCUUGCCUCACACCGGCCCCUCCCACGCUGAGAGAGGUCAGUGUGAGUCCCUUGCCUCACACCGGCCCCUCCCACGCUGAGAGACGUCAGUGUGAGCCCUUGCCUCACACCGGCCCCUCCCACGCUGAGAGACGUCAGUGUGAGCCCUUGCCUCACACCGGCCCCUCCCAUGCUGACAGAGGUCAACCUGAGCCCCUUGCCUCACACCGGCCCCUCCCACGCUGAGAGAGGUCAGUGUGAGCCCUUGCCUCACACCGGCCCCUCCCACGCUGACAGAGGUCAACCUGAGCCCCUUGCCUCACACCAGCCCCUCCCACGCUGAGAGAGGUCAGUGUGAGCCCUUGCCUCACACCGGCCCCUCCCACGCUGAGAGAGGUCAGCGUGAGCCCCUUGCCUCACACCGGCCCCUCCCACGCUGAGAGAGGUCAGUGUGAGCCCUUGCCUCACACCGGCCCCUCCCACGCUGAGAGAGGUCAGUGUGAGCCCCUGCCUCAACAGGCCACCAUGAGGGAGGAGCAGGGUCGCACGCGGCCUGUUGGGAGGCAGGCAGGGACUUGGGCCUGGGCGGUCGCGGUGGGGCGAGAGCUGGGCCUGGAGA
Molecule: long non-coding RNA, 4658 nt
Organism: Gorilla gorilla gorilla (western lowland gorilla)
Lineage: Eukaryota; Metazoa; Chordata; Mammalia; Primates; Hominidae
Exons: 5
Source: RefSeq, a predicted model, not a curated record